GAUGAACGCUGGCGGCGUGCCUAAUACAUGCAAGUCGAGCGAACAGACGAGGAGCUUGCUCCUCUGACGUUAGCGGCGGACGGGUGAGUAACACGUGGAUAACCUACCUAUAAGACUGGGAUAACUUCGGGAAACCGGAGCUAAUACCGGAUAAUAUAUUGAACCGCAUGGUUCAAUAGUGAAAGACGGUUUUGCUGUCACUUAUAGAUGGAUCCGCGCCGCAUUAGCUAGUUGGUAAGGUAACGGCUUACCAAGGCAACGAUGCGUAGCCGACCUGAGAGGGUGAUCGGCCACACUGGAACUGAGACACGGUCCAGACUCCUACGGGAGGCGGCAGUAGGGAAUCUUCCGCAAUGGGCGAAAGCCUGACGGAGCAACGCCGCGUGAGUGAUGAAGGUCUUCGGAUCGUAAAACUCUGUUAUUAGGGAAGAACAAAUGUGUAAGUAACUAUGCACGUCUUGACGGUACCUAAUCAGAAAGCCGCGGCUAACUACGUG
This 497-nucleotide ribosomal RNA is filed under the name uncultured bacterium. RNAcentral describes it as "partial 16S ribosomal RNA". It matches the Rfam family "Bacterial small subunit ribosomal RNA", at positions 28 to 507 of the family's 1533-position model. The record is from RNAcentral.